AUGUAUAUAAUAUAUCUUUGUUUUUUUUAUAAUUUUAUAUAUUUUUAUUAUUGUGUUAUAAAAUGAGAAUUAAAGCAUAUUUUUCUCCUUUUUCUCUUUUUCCUCUUAUCCUUUACUUAUGCUCAUCUUUUUAUCUUCGUUUUUAUUUUUUUUUUUUUGUGUAAAAUAAUUUUAAAAAUUAUUACUCGCAAGUUAUAUACUUUUUUGCGUUCCUUAUCCUUAAAAUGUACUACAAAAAAUUGGUAUAAAUUUAUAAAACAAAUAAGCAGUAUUAAAGAAUAAAAAAAAAAAAAAAAGAAAAAAAAAGACACUUUUCAAAAGUGAUGAAAUAUUAAAAAUGUUUAUAUAUUAUUUUAUAUAGUCUACUAUUAUGGUUAUUAUAAUUAUUAUAUUGAUCAUUAUUAUUACGCUUAUCCACUAUUAUUAUUAUCUUUUUUUUUCGUUUGUAUUGGCUUGAAAAUAUUUUACUCAUCAUAUGUAUUACUUUGCAUGUAUUAUAAAUAUAUGCGCAUAAAAAAAGUAUAUACGCGUUUAUAUGCUUUUUUUUCGAAUCAUCAACGUACAAUUAGCUUCUUUAAACAGUCGUAUAUAUAAUUUGAUUUAUAUGCAGACUACUUACGAUAGUGAACAUGAAGAAGCAAAAUGUGUAAAAAAAAAUAAUUUUGGACAAUGUGUCCGUCGGUUGUAUUGCUUUUUUUCAAUAUUUAUUUUAAUAGGUGAUGCAGCCUGUUUUUUUUAAUAAUAUAUAUAUAUAUAUAUAUAUAUAUAUAUAUAUUCCUAAUGGCUUAAAAUUAAACAUAUAUGCGUGAAACUACUGUAAUUUUUGCAUUUUUUAGAAGCUUAUAGUUUCACUUUAAUUUUUUAAUAUAUAUAUAUAUGCAUACUUUUGCGUGUAUAGGUUUUUCAUAUGCCACUAACGGAUACAACGGAAUAUUUUAUUUUGCUUUAUCAUUUGCCCCCAGUUUGGCUUAUCUAUACAUAUUUAGGAAACAAAUAAAAAAAGAGAUCAAGCAUUCGUAUGUCAUUGAAAUGGUGUUAUAUGGAGCAGUAUUAUCAAUUUUUUCCGCGGGGAUAUUCGAAUAUCUUUUAUCAGAUGUUUGUUAUUAUUUUUGUAGUAUAUGUUUUAUAAAAGAAAUUGAAGAAUCAUAUUCGUUUAUUUGUUCUAUAUUUGCUUUUUUUUAUUUUUUUUUUGUGGUGGCGUAUGUUGAAGAAAUUUCAAAAAUUCUUCCAUUAAUUUUUGUUUAUGUACAAAGAAAUAAGCAAGAAUAUAUCGAAUUACCAAUAGUUGAAAAUGAUCAUUAUGUUAAUAAUAUUACAUAUGAAGAAGAUAUAAAUGAAAGCAGUAUAAAGAAAUUUAAAUACAUUACUGUAAAUGAUAAAUUAGAAUAUAUAUUUUUUUCUUUGUGUUCCUCUGCCGGGUUAUUCUUACAUUUAAAUAUAAGUCAUAAACAUAAUAGGUCUAUACAAACCUAUAUACAUAUGUGUAUGUGUAUUAGUAUAUUUACUAGUUUUUCACUCAUCACUUGUUUAUAUAUAUAUAUAUAUAUAUAUAUAUAUUAUAUCCUCAUAUUUAACAGGUUUUCGAGCACUGAAAAUUUAUUCUAUGUCACACAAAUGAAAAAACAAAAUUUUUUGUUGUCAUAAUAUUAAGGUAAAAAUAAUAACAUAAUGAUGUAUUGAAAAUUUUAUAUUUUUUUUUUUAUAUAUACCAACUACAUUAAUUACACGCACACAUGUACAUAGAUAUAUACACAUAUAUAUAAUUAUAUGUUGUUUACACAGAAACUUAGUAUGUGUAUUAUUUCACAUGUGUUGUACUGGAAUAUCAUCUUACAACAUAGUUAAUAAUAUAUGUCAUAAAAAUAAGAAACGUACGGAGACAAAAAAAAAAAAAACAAAAACAAUGCAUAUAUGUAGAGUCCCCACAUAUAUAUAUGUAUACACGAGCCCAAACAGUUUUGUAGUAAUUUUAUUUCAUUAUUAAUCACAAAUAAAAAAAAAAAUCUUUAUUAUUUAUUGUUUAUU
RNAcentral lists this long non-coding RNA (2025 nucleotides) under Piliocolobus tephrosceles (Ugandan red Colobus). RNAcentral's name for it is "lncRNA (ENSPTEG00000007127.1)". The record is from RNAcentral. Lineage: Eukaryota; Metazoa; Chordata; Mammalia; Primates; Cercopithecidae.